RNAcentral lists this long non-coding RNA (7111 nucleotides) under Malus domestica (apple). Its description in RNAcentral is "long non-coding RNA (MDOM_LNC008797)". The record is from RNAcentral. Lineage: Eukaryota; Viridiplantae; Streptophyta; Magnoliopsida; Rosales; Rosaceae.
AGUUGAAAUGCCAUGCAUGAAUUAAUAUAUGAUGCAUAUGUAUGAAUUGGUGCGGUGGACGCACAUGUAAGAAUUGAUUUAUGAUGCAUAUGUAUGAAUUGGUGCGGUGGACGCACAGGUAAGAAUUGAUUUAUGAUGCAUAUGUAUGAAUUGGUGCGGUGGACGCACAGGUAAGAAUUGAUUUAUGAUGCAUAUGUAUGAAAUGGUGCGGUGGACGCACAGAUGAGUAUUUAAUUACUGUUAUGAUGAUGAUGAUAUAUAUUGAGCUCAAAUCCUGCACCAUGGUUUAGUGCUUAUAGUAUUCACCGCAUCGCACGCUCGCCUUGGAUCCAAGUAGAUGCUAGUCGUACAGUCCACGCGGAGUGGGUACGACAGACCAGUCGCGAGAGUGUUAGUGAGAUUCCGACUGGUGGGUGACCUUAGAUUAUGUGCACAGAUGAUUUAUGAGAAGCACUAGAGCGUAACUUGUGUGCAGAAGGCCGGACGGGUCACAGAGGUGACUCCGGUAGAGUGAUAAUGAUAGAUUUUGAGCUCUAGGUUCAACCGUAUAGGGCUAUUAGAGGGCCUACGGUUGAUUACUUUCUUGCACCUGAUAUGAUUAUGUUGAUGCAUUCAUACCUUAUUACUGUUGAGAUGAUGUGGCAUGGCAUAAUUAAUAUGAGAAAAUGUUGAGAUGACAUGGCAUGGCAUGAUUGAUAAAGAGAUAAUGUUGAGAUAGUAAAAAUGAAGUUUUGAGAAUAUAUAUGUAUAUUUAUAUUUUACAUUUCUGGGAAAGUAUACAGGUUUUACGGAGAGGGGUUACAACGUUUUGAGAAAUGUUUGGAUUUGGAAAAGAAUUGUUUUACUGACCCACUCAAUUUUGGUUUUGCGCCCCUCCAGGUUCAGGAAUCACAAAGGUGUGGUGACUACGAGGAAUUCGACGGUGUUCUGACAGAUUGGACAAAAUUAGGACUCACCUUCGGAUGUAUCAAUUUAAAUUGUAUCUUAAAGCUUCCGUACUGUGCAAACGGUUACGUCACUCUCACGUGACGGCCAGCAUGCCCUCCUUCGGGACGGGGUGUGUCAGUUGGUAUCAGAGCAUGGUUGCAAUCUUGGACAUCUUGAGAAGUUUCUAGUGAAUUCUGUCAGAACUACACCGCCUCGUAGCAAACCACGUAGUUAGAGGAACUUAGUCUCCCUAAUUUAGCGGGUUAGGGGAAACUAUUCUUAUGGUGAUUCAGUAUAUUAGAAAAAUGGACAUUUUAAGACGGGUUAUGAGUUGAAUUUGAAUCACUUAAGAGAAAUGAUGAACCUGAGGGAACAAAGUGACGGAUUAACCAAUUGGAAAAGAUGUUUCGGAAUAUGCAAGUCAAAGGAAUCUUCCUUCUGACAAGGGGUCGAGACGACUACCUGGUUUUGGUUAUGAAUUUGUAUCCUGGUGGAAACAGGAGUAUGAAUUGUUGUCACCAGAGGAAUCAGUCGAUUGAGAAUUGUUUAAGGACUUGUUUAAAGGAAAAGUUUAUCCCUCCGGCAUUUAUCGAUGGUAGUAAACAAGAGUUUACAAAUAUGAGACAAGGAAGGUGAUGAUCGAGGGAUAUUAUAGAAAGUUUUCAGACUUGCCUCGUUCCAUCCAGAUAUUGUUGUUAAUUUGGUGGAGGUGUUAUGUUGUUUUAAGCUGGGUGGCAAAAAGGGAAGUGGUAUUUUGGGUGACCACUAUCCAUUGUAGUUCUUAUCAGGAGUAUGCUAGAUGUUGUUGAAUCUUGAGGACUCUGAGAACAUGAGCAACGAGAAUAAAGAAGAAUAAGAAAUGAAUGGGAAUUAAAAGAAGACGAUAAAGUUAAUGAUUCGUCAUAUCAAGGAUAUAGAAAGAUUUAGAGCUUCGAAAGAAGUGAAGCUAGAGUUAAUUCUUCUAGCUGAGGUUUUAAUGUCGCUGGUCAGAAUAAAAGUGAUGGAUAUACUGGUAAUCCCAGAUAUUUGAGACAAGGUGUCUCGAGUAAAGGAAAUGUACCUUGUGCUGCAGGUACAAAAAUUAACACUUUGGGAAGUGUGAAAUUAAUGAAUGUGUUUAUGUGAACAGAGGGGACACAGAAUUGUGAAUCGUCCCUAGAAUCAGUUGUACUCAAUAAUUUUCCAUGAUAUCAUAGUGUCGAUUCAGAAGAGUUAUAAACUUAGUAGUUUGGUCGGAUUGACUGUGAGUACAGAGAGAUUUGAUGAGUUAUAUGUUCAGCUGUACAGACCAUGAGAAGUGGAUUCGACUGACACAUGCGAAAUUUGUGAGUUAUAGGCUCGGCCGUACCGACCACGCGGAGUGGAUCCGGCCGACGUAUUAUUGAGAUAAGAGUUGAAUCAGUCGUAUUGAUCAUUCUAGUUGACUUCGGCUGAUAUAUUUCUUAUUAUGUAUGUUAUUACCUUGAGAGUAGUAAAUAAAUGUAGUUGAGAUGAGUGUAUGUAUUUUGCAUUGAGUGACAAAAUAGUAAUGUUAUAUCUUUGAGAGUGGUUGCCUACUUAUCGAGACAACGAUGAUUUAUCAGUAUUGCGGGCUGCAGACCGUAAUAUUAAUAACUCAUUCGUGGAUUCGUUAAGUAAGUAAACCGGUAGAUUAUUUUGUACUUAUUCAGAAUGCUUAGUAGUAAUAGAGUAUGUAUUGUGUCGGUUAAAUUAUUUCCAUUAGAUUGGUUGGUUAUAAUUGUGACAAGACGGAAUGUUAAGGGAAACCAGUACUUUCCAUCGAUCUGGAUGACCAGAGAUUACUUUUGUAAGUAUGCAAAGUGGAUUGAGUUCAGCCAUUAUUUAUGCUGUGAGAGCAAAGAGAUUGUUUUCGAAAGGCUGUCAAAAAUACUUAGCUCAUGUGGUGCUAAAUGAUGUUGUUUGGAGUAGUGUGAAUAAUGUCGAAAGAGUUAGACUUUUCUUGAUGUCUUCCUUGAAAGUAUACCUGGAUUGCCUUCAGGCAGAGAUAUGAGGUUCAUUAUUGAUUUGUUGCCAGGUAUAAAUUUAUAUUGGAGAUUGGUUCAGGAUGAGUUAAGGGAAUUGGAAAUUCAGUUGAGAGAAUUGGUUGAUAAAAGUUUUAUUCAACCUAGUACAACACUUUUGAGGAGCCCAGUUUGUUGGUGAGGAAGAAAAAUGGAUCUUGAGACUGUUCAUUGAUUAUAGACAAUGGAGUCGGGUAACGAUUGAGAACCGUUAUCCAUGGUGAUGUACUGAUGUUUAUUUAACCAGCUCAGAAGUAAUUGCGAAGAUUCAAAGAUUGAAUUGAGAUCUGGUUACUACCAAUUGAAUAUUAUAAGUGACGUUGAUCAUAAGAUGGUUUCUGGACUUGUUAUGGUCCUUAUAAAGUUUGGUGAUGCUAUGUGGAUACUCAUGCGGUUUUAUGAGUUAUUGGAUGAAGUAUUCCAAUAAUGCCUUGAUAAAUAGAUAUCAUUUUCAUUGAAGAUAUUCUGGUAUACUCUAAGCCUAGAGCAGAGCAUGUAAACGUAUUAAGUCGGUGAAGCAAAGAUUAAGAGAACGUUGGUUGUAUGCUAAGAUUAGCAAAUGCGAAUGUUGGAUGAAUCAAGUGGCAUUCUGAGAUUGGUUAUAUCUGCUUAAGGUAUUCAAAUGAAUUCUUAAUGGCAGCAGAAUUGAGAAAUUGGAACAACCACGAGUCGUAAUUGAGAUUUGGAAUUUCUUAGCUUACCAGGCUAUCUUGGAUGGUUGUGAAAGAUUUUUCAGUCAUUGCUUUGUCAUUGACGAGACUGUUGAGAAAAGAGGUUAGGUAUGAGUGGGAAGGAAUUGUAAGCAAAGGAUUCAACAACUGAAGUAUUUCCUCCCUCAUGCACGUAUUUUGGUAUUCCCAGAGAAUAGUGGUAAUCAUAAAUUUUUAGUGAUGUUUCUUGAAUGGUAUUGGAGGCAUGUUGAUGCAAAUGUUAGGGUGAUUGCAUACGUUUCACGAUAAAUGGAACCUCAUGAGAUGAAUUACCCUACGGGUGACUUGGAAGUCAUGAUUACCAUUCUUGCUGUGAAGUUAUGAAGGCAUUAUAUUUGGUAAGAAUGCAAGAUUUUUACGAAUCCAAAAAGUCUUCAAUAUCCAUUACUUGGAAGGAUUUUGAUAUGAGGCAGCGAAAGUGAAUUGUAUUGCUUAAUGAACAUGAUUGUACGAUCAGGGUGAUCGUAAAGUUUGUUCUAGCUCAAGCACUUGGCGAGAAGACUACAGUAAGAUUAAUAUCUGGCACGUUUGCCAAGAGUAUCAUUUUGUGGAUUGAAAACCAACGGAAGAAAAAUUAAGAAUGGAAGAUCGAGAAGAAGUUAUACUUGUUAAGUAACAAGUUAGUACAUUUACCCCAGUGUUGAGUAACAACCUUUCCCAGACAGUGCAACACUACUUAUUUGUUUUAUGGAAAAGAGAAUUGGAUUACGGAACUGCUAAGUUUCUUAAGUAUGUUGGUUGUGCAGUUUCCGAAGUAACGCCAUAAGGACCAUGAAAUGUGUCACGUGAGUCGGUUUUUGAUGACUUGUGAAUGGAAUGUUUCUGGGUAGAGAAAGAUUCGAUCGAGAAAGAGUUUUAGUAGACCCUGAGACUAUGGAUGAGUCUCCUCAAAGUAUUCAGGUGAUUAAGUUAACCUGAAGUAACCAGGAAUGGCAAAAGAGAUCAACAGAUGGAUAUGCCACUAAUCGAGUGUGUAAGGUAAAUGGUUUGAUAUUUUUGGAAAAUUCACCACGAACAGAAAUGAAGAGAAUUGGAAAAGAGACAAGAUAAGAUUUAAACACAUCAGACCGUUUUGAUCAUUAAAAGAAUCAAUGAAGUUGCAUAUAAGUUUGUGAUGCCUUCAAAAUUGGCUAAGGUGCAUAAUGCAUUAUAUUUCGAUGCGUUGUCACUAGGUGGCAGAUUCGUCACAUGGGAUUCUGGUGCAACUAUUUAGAAUUCAAUUGGAUUCGACUUGAUAAGGAACCAAGGACUACUUUGGAUUGGGAAAAGAAGGUCCUGAGAAUUAAGACAGAGUAAGUGGUAAAAGCUUUGUGAAGAAAAUCAUUCAGUAGAAAAUUAUGUGGGAGAAAGAGAAACGGAUGAGAGAGAUUUACCCGAAGCUAUUGUUGGAGUAUGGUUGAUUUAGUUGAUUGCUGGAAUUUCGGGGACGAAAUUCUAUAAGGAGGGAAGAUUGUCACAGCCCGUCCUGGAAUUUUAAUUCCGAGGACGUGAAAUGACCAAUGUGACCUUAAACGGGAUUAAGGUGUGUAAAUGUAUGACAUUUGUUUUACUUUAAGAUCCUAAACUAGGGUUAGAUUUAUAUUUGUAUGUGUUAAUUUGUGCUUGGACUUAGGUAGGGCCUCCUACCCUGAAUUCCCUCCCUAAAACCCGUAACCUUUCUUCUCUCUCUUCUUCUUUCAUUCCAGACUCUCUCUCUCUCUCUUAUUCUUUUCUGAAAACUCUCUCAUUCUCUCUCUCUUACUCUCGAACUCACGGCAACCACCAAGAACCACCACAAUCUUGUACCAACGUUCCAUUUAAGACCACCAUCGUGAUCCUGGGGACUUCACGAGCACGGGGAUACCAAUUUCAGGUGAGUUUCACUUCGAAAACCCUAGUUCUAAAGUUGCCGUGAGAUGACACUGUUCAUGAGCUUUGAAUUGGUUACGUUUUAGGCUAAAACAAGAUCACAGCGAGUUUAGUAAGGUCCCAAGGAAGCUCGGAGUGCUUCGUUGGAAGUUUUUGGACGUAAGAACACGGAGAUCGACAAGUUCAAAGUUUGGCCGGAGCUUUCGAGGCGUUUUCCGGCGAAUCCCCGGCGAGUUAGGAGUCGAGGUAGGUAUCAAUCUCUUCGUCUUGUCAAGUACUACAACUUUCGUUUUUGAAUCACUUGAUUUCGUUGAGAAAUGACAAAGUUAUGGCAAUUUGAAAAACUGCCCGGAAAACGGCCGCCGGAAAAACCAGUCCGGCGACCCAAGGAAGAAGAAGGUGCUACAGUAAAAAUAAAAUAAAAAUAAAAUUAUUUUAAAAAUAUGUCGACGUCCGUGACGUCGAGUAGAUCACUGUGGUAUAUUCAUAUACCUAAAUUGAACACCGUAUGAGAAAGUUAUUGAAGAUUGUUGGUUAGGUGUUCAAAUAACGUUUUAUAGUUUUCACAUUUAGGUGAAAAUGUGAAUUGAUGAUCCGACCGUUGGAUCGUCACCAAACUUUGAUACGUUGUAAUACGUAAUAUUUGAGGAUUAUUGGAACUUACGGAUUGGGAAUCCGAGUUACGGAUCUUCCGGAAUUGGAAUUGUAAGUCCAUAAUAUAAAAUGUUAACCGUCACUUAGUUUUGGAAAUUGACGGAGAUCCGACCGUUGGAUGGUAAUGAAAUUUUAGGAUGUUGUCCUAGAGGUAUAAUGUGGACCUCUGGAAGUUAUGGAUUUAAAAUCUGAGUGACAGAUCUUCCGGAUCGAUCAACGUAGUGACGUAUUUUAUAUAAGUUAAGUAUUCUAUCGAUAUGAAUUCUGAGCCUGGAUUUGAUUACUAUUCUAGGCGGCGAUCGUCAUGACGCCUUGAUGUGUGGUGCUAGGGAGUUGUUGGACGAACUCCAGGUGAGUGGGCAGUUUUGUUUUCCGUAUAUAUAUAUACUUGACGUUUCCCAGAAAUUGAAUUGAAAUGAAAAUAUGUUUAAAAUGAAAUGCAUAUGAGUUAUGUGGAAAAACGGGAAGUGAAAUACCAUGCAUAGAAUUGAUAUGAAAAGUAUAUAGAAAUGUGAGUUGAAAUGCCAUGCAUGAAUUAAUAUAUGAUGCAUAUGUAUGAAUUGGUGCGGUGGACGCACAUGUAAGAAUUGAUUUAUGAUGCAUAUGUAUGAAUUGGUGCGGUGGACGCACAGGUAAGAAUUGAUUUAUGAUGCAUAUGUAUGAAUUGGUGCGGUGGACGCACAGGUAAGAAUUGAUUUUAUGAUGCAUAUGUAUGAAAUGGUGCGGUGGACGCACAGAUGAGUAUUUAAUUACUGUUAUGAUGAUGAUGAUAUAUAUUGAGCUCAAAUCCUGCACCAUGGUUUAGUGCUUAUAGUAUUCACCGCAUCGCACGCUCGCCUUGGAUCCAAGUAGAUGCUAGUCGUACAGUCCACGCGGAGUGGGUACGACAGACCAGUCGCGAGAGUGUUAGUGAGAUUCCGACUGGUGGGUGACCUUAGAUUAUGUGCACAG